RNAcentral lists this ribosomal RNA (443 nucleotides) under uncultured bacterium. RNAcentral describes it as "partial 16S ribosomal RNA". It matches the Rfam family "Bacterial small subunit ribosomal RNA", at positions 338 to 795 of the family's 1533-position model. The record is from RNAcentral.
CCUACGGGAGGCAGCAGUGGGGAAUAUUGGACAAUGGGGGGAACCCUGAUCCAGCGACGCCGCGUGAGUGAAGAAGUAUUUCGGUAUGUAAAGCUCUAUCAGCAGGGGAGCAAGACAUGACGGUACCUGACUAAGAAGCCCCGGCUAACUACGUGCCAGCAGCCGCGGUAAUACGUAGGGGGCAAGUGUUAUCCGGAUUUACUGGGUGGAAAGGGAGCGUAGACGGCAGCACAAGUCUGGAGGGAAAUCGCGGGGCCUAAACCCGGGACUGCUGUGGAACCUGUGCGGCUGGAGUGCAGGAGGGGUAUGCGGAAUGCCUAGUGUAGCGGUGAAAUGCGUAGAUAUUAGGAGGAACACCGGUGGCGAAGGCGGCUUACUGGACUGUAACUGACGUUGAGGCUCGAAAGCGUGGGGAGCGAACAGGAUUAGAUACCCCUGUAGUC